RNAcentral lists this ribosomal RNA (492 nucleotides) under uncultured bacterium. RNAcentral describes it as "partial 16S ribosomal RNA". It matches the Rfam family "Bacterial small subunit ribosomal RNA", at positions 29 to 507 of the family's 1533-position model. The record is from RNAcentral.
AGUGAACGCUGGCGGUAGGCCUAACACAUGCAAGUCGAACGGCAGCACAGUAAGAGCUUGCUCUUACGGGUGGCGAGUGGCGGACGGGUGAGGAAUACAUCGGAAUCUACUUUUUCGUGGGGGAUAACGUAGGGAAACUUACGCUAAUACCGCAUACGACCUACGGGUGAAAGCAGUGGAUCUUCGGACCUUGCGCGAUUGAAUGAGCCGAUUUCGGAUUAGCUAGUUGGCGGGGUAAAGGCUCACCAAGGCAACGAUCCGUAGCUGACCUGAGAGGAUGAUAGGACACACUGGAACGGAGAAAAGGUCAAGAAGCCUAAGGGAGGCAGAAGGAGGGAAGAUUGAGAAAUGGGAGAAAGCCUGAAGGAGCAACGACGCGUGAGAGAGGAAGGGCUUCGGAUAGUAAAACGCUGUUAUUAGGGAAGAACAAAUGUGGAAGUAACUAUGCACGGCGUGACGGGACCUAAUAAGAAAGACACGGCUAACUACGUG